Molecule: ribosomal RNA, 520 nt
Filed under: uncultured Glomus
Lineage: Eukaryota; Fungi; Glomeromycota; Glomeromycetes; Glomerales; Glomeraceae
Description: SSU rRNA
Rfam family: Eukaryotic small subunit ribosomal RNA
Source: RNAcentral
AGCAGCCGCGGUAAUUCCAGCUCCAAUAGCGUAUAUUAAAGUUGCUGCAGUUAAAAAGCUCGUAGUUGAAUUUCGGGACCGAUAUAUCGGUCGUGCCUCGGUACGUACUGGUAUUUUCGGUUUCUCCCUUCUGACGAACCUUGAUGUCAUUAAUUUGGUGUCUUGGGGAAUCAGGACUGUUACUUUGAAAAAAUUUAGAGUGUUUAAAGCAGGCUCACGCUUGAAUACAUUAGCAUGGAAUAAUGAAAUAGGACGUUCGAUCCUAUUUUGUUGGUUUCUAGGAUCAACGUAAUGAUUAAUAGGGAUAGUUGGGGGCAUUAGUAUUCAAUUGUCAGGGGUGAAAUUCUUGGAUUUAUUGAAGACUAACUACUGCGAAAGCAUUUGCCAAGGAUGUUUUCAUUAAUCAAGAACGAAAGUUAGGGGAUCGAAGACGAUCAGAUACCGUCGUAGUCUUAACCAUAAACUAUGCCGACUAGGGAUCGGAUGAUGUUAAUUUUUUAAUGACUCAUUCGGCGCCUUA